UUGUCCUGGAUCUUAAAGAUGCCUUCUUUAUAGUGUCCCUCCAUCCUGACUCUUAUUAGCUCUUUGCCUUCACAUGGGAAGACCCUACAUCCUUUAGGUCUCAUCAGCUGACAUGGAAAGUCCUACCCCAAGGCUUCAGGGACAGUCCCUAUCUCUUUGGGCAAGGCUUGGCAUGGGAUCUAACUGCUUGUGACUUAGGGGGCAGCACACUCUUACAAUAUGUGAAUGACCUUCUAUGCGGUUCAUCAUUCAAGGCUUGUGAACUCACACUGCUCAGCUCCUCAAUUUCCUGGGGUCCCUGGACUAUUGGGCCUCUCCAGCCAAAGCCCAGCUUACUACCUCUUCAGUUAACUAUUUAGGUACACUUCUCACUUCAACCUCUAAAAGCCUGACAUCAGACAGAAUUCAAGCUCUCCAUGACCUACAACCACCCAAAACAGUGGACUACAUCCUCUCCUUCCUGGGUCUGGCAGACUUUUUCAGGCAUUGGGUUCCCCACUUUGCACUUCUUACCAAUCCCUUAUACAAGGCCACUAAGGAGACCCCUCAUUGGACCCUCACCUCCCCUAAGCUAGUAGCCAAUUCCUUUUGCAAGCUCAGGAAUGCUCUUACAUAUUCUUGCACUCUCUCUUCCUAACCCUAAACACCCUUUCCACCUCGUUAUGGAUGAAAGACAGGGUAUCACCACUGGCCUCCUCGCUCAGCCAACUGCACCCUCCUAUAAGCCGAUGGGAUACCUCUACAUGCAGCUUCACU
RNAcentral lists this long non-coding RNA (756 nucleotides) under Marmota monax (woodchuck). Lineage: Eukaryota; Metazoa; Chordata; Mammalia; Rodentia; Sciuridae. The record is from RNAcentral.